AUAUGUAGUGUAGCCUAUACAAUUUCCAAAUAUGUGUAAAUGUUUAUUAAGUUUACACAGGCAGAAUCAUUUUACAAUCGUACACACAAAUCUAUAUUAAACAACACACCAGCAGCACAAGUAACAUUACAUGCGAAAAAUAUUUUGAGUGGUUGAACUUGAGACUUCGGAAUUCAAAUGUCUCUUCAACUUGGUUUGUGACCAAUCAGAUUUUGUUGCUCACUGCCUUCAGCCAAUCAGAGCUGCUGACGUCAUGGUACUCGUCUGAAUCCCCUCGCUCAGUCACUCAGGUCAAUUAUAAUGUCGCAAUGUAUAAUUUAUUUAAUAAAACACUGAAAGCGCAAUACAUUGCUCAGUUUCGGGAAUUCUGACCAGUUCAAUCAAGUGACAUCGCAGACUGACAGAUGGCGACGACAACGGGCUAGGAAUUUAAUGGUACGCGAUCCUGAAAGAACCGGAGAAAAGUGCUGCUAUCUGGAGAUGCUGUUCUUCACGAGUUUUUGCAGUCACUGUGUAAGCGGCCAUCAGACACAAUCAUGAGAAGCUCAUCAGAAAAUGAAAUAUAAUGUGUAAUUUGUAUUUGUGUAUAGAGGGUCACCAUUGGUCCAAUCAUUUUUUUUCUUUAAUGAAAAACAUGGUAAGUUUUGCUGAAUCUAUGUUAAGUUUAAAUAAAAACCAUUGGAUUUGUCAAUGAAAUAUGUCUCUUCAUUAGUGAUGUUGUUACAUUUUAUUUAUUUUAAUGGCCUUGAAAACCAAUGCUUUCAACUUUG
Megalobrama amblycephala (Wuchang bream) is the source of this 770-nucleotide long non-coding RNA. RefSeq lists it as uncharacterized. The transcript has 2 exons. The record is from RefSeq and is a predicted model, not a curated record. NCBI's taxonomy places the organism in Eukaryota, Metazoa, Chordata, Actinopteri, Cypriniformes, Xenocyprididae.